AUGUUAAGAGUUCUCAGUGAAGGCUUUUCAUUUCUACCAUUCCCUCCCCUCCCCACCCCAUCCAUUAAUAUUAUUCUUUUGAAGAUUCUUCGUUGUCAAGCUGCCAAAGUGGAGAGUGCGAUUGCAGAAGGGGGUGCUUCUCCUUUCGGUGCUCCUUCGGGCGGAGGAGGAAGUAGGGGUGCAUCUCAGCACUAUCCCAAGACUGCUGGCCACAGCAAGUUCCUGGGGAAAAUUCCAGGGCAAAACGCUCAGAAAUGGAUUCCUGCAAGAAGCACUAGACGAGAUGACAACUCCGCAGCAAACAACUCUGCAAAUGAAAAAGAAAGACAUGAUGCAAUCUUCAGGAAAGUAAGAGGCAUACUAAAUAAGCUUAAUCCUGAAAAGUUUGACAAGCUAUGCCUUGAGCUCCUCAAUGUGGGUGUAGAGUCUAAACUCAUCCUUAAAGGGGUCAUACUGCUGAUUGUGGACAAAGNCCUAGAAGAGCCAAAGUAUAGCUCACUGUANGCUCAGCUAUGUCUGCGAUUGGCAGANGANGCACCAAACUUUGAUGGCCCAGCAGCAGAGGGUCAACCAGGACAGAAGCAAAGCACAACAUUCAGACGCCUCUUGAUUUCCAAAUUGCAAGAUGAAUUUGAAAACCGAACCAGAAAUGUUGAUGUCUAUGAUAAGCGUGAAAAUCCCCUCCUUCCUGAGGAGGAGGAGGAACAGAGAACCAUUGCUAAGAUCAAGAUGUUGGGGAACAUCAAGUUCAUUGGAGAACUUGGCAAGCUUGAUCUUAUUCAUGAAUCUAUCCUUCAUAAGUGCAUCAAAACACUUUUGGAAAAGAAGAAGAGAGUCCAACUCAAAGAUAUGGGAGAGGAUUUGGAGUGCCUCUGUCAGAUAAUGAGGACAGUGGGACCUCNAUUAGACCAUGAACGAGCCAAGUCCUUAAUGGAUCAGUACUUUGCCAGAAUGUGUUCCUUAAUGUUAAGUAAGGAAUUGCCAGCCAGGAUUCGUUUCCUACUGCAGGAUCAUUGGGUUCCUCGCAAGGCUUUUCUUGACAAUGGACCAAAGACGAUCAAUCAAAUCCGUCAAGAUGCAGCAAAAGAUCUAGGAGUGUUUAUUCCCGCUCCUAUGGCUCAAGGGAGGAAUGACUUCUUCCUGGAGGGACCGUUCAUGCCGCCAAGGAUGAAAAUGGAUAGGAACCCACCUGGGGGACUUGCUGAUAUAUUUGGACAAAUGCCAGGUAGUGGAAUUGGUACUGGUCCAGGAGUUAUCCAGGAUAGAUUUUCACCCACAAUGGGACGUCAUCGUUCAAGUCAGCUCUUCAGUGGCCAUGGGGGGCGGGCACAGCAUGCCUCCCACGCAAUCGCAGUUUGGAGAGAUGGGGGCAAGUUUAUGAAAAGCCAGAUUAGUUUGAGGCCUGCUCAGUCGUUUCUAAUGAAUAAAAAUCAGGUGCCAAAGCUUCAGCCCCAGAUAACUAUGAUUCCUCCCAGUGCACAGCCACCACGCACUCAAACACCGCCUCUGGGACACACACCUCAACUUGGUCUCAAAACUAAUCCACCACUUAUCCAGGAAAAGCCUGCCAAGAAGUUGGUGAGCAUUUCCGAACUAGCUCAACCACUGGAGCGUGGCACCCACUUCCCUCUCUUCCUACUUUGUCUUCAGCAAUUAGCUAAAUUACAAGACUGAGAGUGGUUAACCGAACUUUUUCAACAAAGCAAGGUCAAUAUGCAGAAAAUGCUGCCAGAAAUUGAUCAGAAUAAGGAUCAAAUGUUGGAGAUUUUGGAAGGAAAGGGACUGAGUUUCUUAUUCCCACUCCUUAAAUUAGAGAAGGAACUAUUGAAGCAAAUUAAGCUGGAUCCAUCCCCUCAAACUAUAUAUAAAUGGAUUAAAGAUAACAUCUCUCCCAAACUUCAUGUAGAUAAAGGAUUUGUGAACAUCUUAAUGACCAGCUUCUUACAGUACAUUUCUAGUGAAGUCAGCCCACCCAGCGAUGAGACAGAUUCUUCCUCUGCUCCUUCCAAAGAGCAGUUAGAGCAGGAAAAACAGCUGCUGCUCUCUUUUAAGCCAGUGAUGCAGAAAUUUCUUCAUGAUCAUGUGGNUCUACAGGUCAGUGCCCUGUAUGCUUUGCAGGUGCACUGUUACAACAGCAGCUUCCCAAAAGGCAUGUUACUUCGAUAUUUUUGUUCAUUUCUAUGACAUGGAAAUUAUUGAAGAGGAAGCUUUCUUAGCUUGGAAGGAAGACAUAACUCAAGAGUUUCCAGGAAAAGGCAAGGCUUUGUUCCAGGUGAAUCAGUGGCUAACCUGGCUAGAAACUNCUGAAGAAGAAGAAUCAGAGGAAGAAGCUGACUAAAGAACCAGCCAAGCCUUAA
Molecule: non-coding RNA, 2357 nt
Organism: Mus caroli (Ryukyu mouse)
Lineage: Eukaryota; Metazoa; Chordata; Mammalia; Rodentia; Muridae
Source: RefSeq, a predicted model, not a curated record